AGAGUUUGAUCCUGGCUCAGAACGAACGCUGGCGGCGUGCUUAACACAUGCAAGUCGAACGCGAAAAGGGGCAACCCUCGGUAGCGUGGCAGACGGGUGAGUAACACGUGGGUAACCUACCCGGAGGUGGGGGAUAACCCUUCGAAAGGAGGGCUAAUACCGCAUGACAUCGUGGGGACCUCGGUCCUCGCGAUCAAAGCUGGCCUCUGUUUACAAGCUAGCGCCACUGGAGGGGCCCGCGCCCCAUUAGCUAGUUGGUGAGGUAACGGCUCACCAAGGCGACGAUGGGUAGCCGGCCUGAGAGGGCGACCGGCCACACUGGAACUGCGACACGGUCCAGACUCCUACGGGAGGCAGCAGUGAGGAAUCUUGCGCAAUGGGCGAGAGCCUGACGCAGCGACGCCGCGUGAAGGAUGAAGGUCUUCGGAUUGUAAACUUCUGUCGAGCGGGACGAAUGCCAUGAGGGUGAACAAUCCUCGUGGUUGACGGUACCGCUGGAGGAAGCCCCGGCUAACUCCGUGCCAGCCGCCGCC
RNAcentral lists this ribosomal RNA (533 nucleotides) under uncultured Acidobacteriota bacterium. RNAcentral's name for it is "bacterial SSU rRNA". It matches the Rfam family "Bacterial small subunit ribosomal RNA", at positions 8 to 519 of the family's 1533-position model. Lineage: Bacteria; Pseudomonadati; Acidobacteriota. The record is from RNAcentral.